CGCAUCAGGUCCUUCCUCACCUAACCGCACCAAUCUUUCACCUUUUAUUAAAGAUUGCCGUGGGGAAGGACACCCUAAUGAGCCUCUAGGUCAAUUGACCUAUGUUUUCUUUCUUGCCUUAAUGCAUCAC
Small nuclear RNA from Rhipicephalus microplus (southern cattle tick), 130 nucleotides. RefSeq annotates it as U5 spliceosomal RNA. Lineage: Eukaryota; Metazoa; Arthropoda; Arachnida; Ixodida; Ixodidae. The record is from RefSeq and is a predicted model, not a curated record.